RNAcentral lists this ribosomal RNA (680 nucleotides) under uncultured bacterium. Its description in RNAcentral is "bacterial SSU rRNA". It matches the Rfam family "Bacterial small subunit ribosomal RNA", at positions 29 to 692 of the family's 1533-position model. The record is from RNAcentral.
AAGAACGCCGGCGGCGUGCCUAACACAUGCAAGUCGAGCGCGAAUGGAGCAAUCCUAGUAGAGCGGCGCACGGGUGAGUAACACGUGGGUAAUCUGCCUGGAAGAUCGGGACAACCUGCCGAAAGGCUGGCUAAUACCGGAUAAGCCCACGGGGUCCUCGGACCUCGAGGGAAAAGAUGGCCUCUGCAUGCAAGCUAUCACUUCCAGAUGAGCCCGCGGCCCAUCAGCUAGUUGGCGGGGUAAUGGCCCACCAAGGCUACGACGGGUAGCUGGUCUGAGAGGACGAUCAGCCACACUGGAACUGAGACACGGUCCAGACUCCUACGGGAGGCAGCAGUGGGGAAUUUUGCGCAAUGGGCGAAAGCCUGACGCAGCAACGCCGCGUGUGUGAUGAAGGUCUUCGGAUCGUAAAGCACUUUCGACCGGGACGAAAACCCGCUGGCUAACAUCCAGCGGUUUGACGGUACCGGGAGAAGAAGCACCGGCUAACUCUGUGCCAGCAGCCGCGGUAAUACAGAGGGUGCAAGCGUUGUUCGGAAUUAUUGGGCGUAAAGCGCGAGUAGGCGGCUUUGCAAGUCGGGUGUGAAAGCCCUCGGCUCAACCGAGGAAGUGCGCCCGAAACUGCAAAGCUCGAGUACCGGAGAAGAUGGCGGAAUUCCGAAGUAAAGGUGAAAUUCGUA